AAUGACUCUCAGCAACGGAUAUCUUGGCUCUUGGAAUUGCAGAAUUCCGCGAAUCAUCGAGUUUUUGAACGCAAGUUGCGCCCGAGGUUCGUCCCGAGGGCAUGCCCGCCUGAGCGUCCGCUCCGACCCACCCACGAAUCC
RNAcentral lists this ribosomal RNA (141 nucleotides) under Thysananthus comosus. Its description in RNAcentral is "5.8S ribosomal RNA". The stretch from base 4 to 119 matches the Rfam family "5.8S ribosomal RNA". Rfam says of the family: 5.8S ribosomal RNA (5.8S rRNA) is a component of the large subunit of the eukaryotic ribosome. It is transcribed by RNA polymerase I as part of the 45S precursor that also contains 18S and 28S rRNA. The record is from RNAcentral. Lineage: Eukaryota; Viridiplantae; Streptophyta; Jungermanniopsida; Porellales; Lejeuneaceae.